UUUGCUUCUAUUUUCCACUUUUAAUAUUUUUAUUCGAUAUUGCUAAAAAAAGAACUAAACGAUAAUAUCAAAAGUUACACUAAACUGUCUGCGUACAGACACAGAAGAAUCUCAUGUGAAUUAUUUGCACGGGUACAACUAGUUUAACAUACUAUAUCCAUAUUAUGUGGUGACGUAUAACUUUGUGCUGAUUGCAAAAGCUCAUAGCAGCCACAUGUCUUUCAAGUGUCUGCUUCAUCAACUGCAAUAGUAGAUUAUGCGCCUACCAUGGUCGUAACAGGUCAUGGAGAAUUAAGGUUCGAUUCCAAUGAGGGAGCCAGAGAAACAGCUACCACAUCCAAGGAAGGCAACAGGUGCACAAAUUACCCACUCUAAGAAUGUGGAGGUAGUGACAAAAAAUAACAGAGGACUCUUUUGAGACCCAGUAUUUGGAAUGAAUACACUUUAAAUCGUUUAACGGCCAAUGAUCAUGCCCUUUCGGAAGUCGGAUA
Molecule: non-coding RNA, 491 nt
Filed under: Stegodyphus mimosarum
Lineage: Eukaryota; Metazoa; Arthropoda; Arachnida; Araneae; Eresidae
Description: Eukaryotic small subunit ribosomal RNA
Rfam family: Eukaryotic small subunit ribosomal RNA
Source: Rfam by way of RNAcentral